Molecule: ribosomal RNA, 254 nt
Filed under: uncultured bacterium
Lineage: Bacteria
Description: partial 16S ribosomal RNA
Rfam family: Bacterial small subunit ribosomal RNA
Source: RNAcentral
CACGUAGGCACCAAGCGUUGUCCGGAUUUAUUGGGCGUAAAGAGCUCGUAGGCGGUUCAGUAAGUCAGGUGUGAAAACUUUGGGCUUAACCCAAAGCGUGCAUUUGAUACUGCUGUGACUUGAGUUCGGUAGGGGAGUGGGGAAUUCCUAGUGUAGCGGUGAAAUGCGCAGAUAUUAGGAGGAACACCGGUGGCGAAGGCGCCACUCUGGGCCGAAACUGACGCUGAGGAGCGAAAGCGUGGGUAGCAAACAGG